RNAcentral lists this ribosomal RNA (492 nucleotides) under uncultured bacterium. Its description in RNAcentral is "partial 16S ribosomal RNA". It matches the Rfam family "Bacterial small subunit ribosomal RNA", at positions 29 to 507 of the family's 1533-position model. The record is from RNAcentral.
AGUGAACGCUGGCGGUAGGCCUAACACAUGCAAGUCGAACGGCAGCACAGUAAGAGCUUGCUCUUACGGGUGGCGAGUGGCGGACGGGUGAGGAAUACAUCGGAAUCUACUUUUUCGUGGGGGAUAACGUAGGGAAACUUACGCUAAUACCGCAUACGACCUACGGGUGAAAGCAGGGGAUCUUCGGACCUUGCGCGAUUGAAUGAGCCGAUGUCGGAUUAGCUAGUUGGCGGGGUAAAGGCCCACCAAGGCGACGAUCCGUAGCUGGUCUGAGAGGAUGAACAGCCACACUGUAACUGAGACACGGUCCCGACUCCUACGGGAGGCAGCAGUGGGGAAUAUUGGACAAUGGGCGCAAGCCUGAUCCAGCCAUACCGCGUGGGUGAAGAAGGCCUUCGGGUUGUAAAGCCCUUUUGUUGGGAAAGAAAAGCAGCAGGUUAAUACCCCGCUGUUCUGACGGUACCCAAAGAAUAAGCACCGGCUAACUUCGUG